This 448-nucleotide ribosomal RNA is filed under the name uncultured bacterium. RNAcentral's name for it is "bacterial SSU rRNA". It matches the Rfam family "Bacterial small subunit ribosomal RNA", at positions 29 to 514 of the family's 1533-position model. The record is from RNAcentral.
AGCGAACGCUAGCGGCGGGCCUAACACAUGCAAGUCGAGCGCAUACCUUCGGGUAUGAGCGGCGGACGGGUGAGUAACGCGUAGGUCAUCUACCCUUUGGUGGGGGAUAACCCAGGGAAACUUGGGCUAAUACCGCACGAGGUCCACGGAUCAAAGCCUUCGGGCGCCAGAGGAUGAGCCUGCGUCGCAUUACCUAGUUGGCGGGGUAACGGCCCACCAAGGGGACGAUGCGUAGCUGGUCUGAGAGGAUGAUCAGCCACACUGGGACUGAGACACGGCCCAGACUCCUACGGGAGGCAGCAGUGGGGAAUAUUGCGCAAUGGGGGGAAACCCUGACGCAGCCACGCCGCGUGGGUGAUGAAGGCCUUCGGGUUGUAAAGCCCUGUCGGGAGGGACGAAUUCUUGACGGUACCUCCAAAGAAAGCACCGGCUAACUCCGUGCCAGCAG